GAUGAACGCUGGCGGCGUGCCUAAUACAUGCAAGUCGAGCGAACGGACGAGAAGCUUGCUUCUCUGAUGUUAGCGGCGGACGGGUGAGUAACACGUGGAUAACCUACCUAUAAGACUGGGAUAACUUCGGGAAACCGUAGCUAAUACCGGAUAAUAUUUUGAACCGCAUGGUUCAAAAGUGAAAGACGGUCUUGCUGUCACUUAUAGAUGGAUCCGCGCUGCAUUAGCUAGUUGGUAAGGUAACGGCUUACCAAGGCAACGAUGCAUAGCCGACCUGAGAGGGUGAUCGGCCACACUGGAACUGAGACACGGUCCAGACUCCUACGGGAGGCAGCAGUAGGGAAUCUUCCGCAAUGGGCGAAAGCCAGACGGAGCAACGCCGCGUGAGUGAUGAAGGUCUUCGGAUCGUAAAACUCUGUUAUUAGGGAAGAACAUAUGUGUAAGUAACUGUGCACAUCUUGACGGUACCUAAUCAGAAAGCCACGGCUAACUACGUG
This 497-nucleotide ribosomal RNA is filed under the name uncultured bacterium. RNAcentral's name for it is "partial 16S ribosomal RNA". It matches the Rfam family "Bacterial small subunit ribosomal RNA", at positions 28 to 507 of the family's 1533-position model. The record is from RNAcentral.